GAAUGAGCCAAAUUAAAACAUAACUAGUUUAAUAUGUAAUCUAGUUUAACUGUUUACUGUUAUGCACUAAAUGCACUGUUCUAGAGGAUCUGAACAAUCAUUUGAUGACCUAACGUCUAAGGAGAGAAUGAGAAAGUGCAGUCUUUAAUUUAUUCUAUAUGGACACAGACCAGCUAACUGGGGAGCUCUAAUCUAUGAGACAGAGGAUAUUAGACAAAUGUGCUUUAAGCUUCAAACUUGCAAGUGCUCCUGGAUUGUGUGGAGGUCAGGUUACCUUGCAGAACUCCUCAGAUAAUGGCAAAGAUGGGAAAAUAUUCCCAAGUUCCACAAGUGCAGAAAAAAUGAGGGCUUUAAGUCCUUUCAGAGCUUUAAAUGUUUCUUUAGAAUAUGAAGAGAAAGAUUCAAAGUUAUCUUUAUAUAUUCUGAAAUUUUGUAUUGUAAUUGAUAAAGUAAUGUUUCAGAUACUACUUCCAUAAUCUGACUAAAGUUACUAUUUUCUUAAGAAUGAAAAGAAACCAGUAGAAGUUCUUUUGUUUUCCAUUCCCCAUUUUUUUUGUGAAGAUUGCAUCAAAGAAAUACAUGCAGCCUGCAAUACUUGCCAGUGACCUUCUUUAUGGACAUUUUGGAAGAAGCUACAAACCAAAUUGCUCUGGCCAUAUAAGGCCACUUCUGCCACAUAAAUUUAUUAAGGAUUGACAGAAAAUGGUGUCUGGGAACAGUUUUCAGCCACCCAAACAAUUUCUGCAACUUGCAGCUGUGUCUGUUCCCCACUCUCUCACCAAGGAUUGGAUUUCCAGUCUGUAUUGAAUCUUCUGUACCGCAUUUGUACCAUAGACCUGUAACGUGAACAAAGGAGUCCUCGUGUUCAAAUUUUCUCCGUGCUUGUAGCAAGCUGUUUGGGCUAUUCAGCUGGAAGCAUUGUAGAUCACUGGACCACACAGAUUACAUUUUUAGCUUAGCUGUUACGACACGUUAUUUUUAACUAUUGGGGUGUGAGAUAAUGUCAGAACAGGAUUCUACCCUCCAGGGUAUCGUGUAUCACAUUACUGAUAAGCCCUUCACCAACAGAAAUAUCAGCUAUUUGAGAGUGACGUGAUCUUUCUCCUUAGUCCGUGGCACAAAAAAAAGUAAAA
Long non-coding RNA from Oxyura jamaicensis (ruddy duck), 1133 nucleotides. RefSeq lists it as uncharacterized. The transcript is spliced from 2 exons. The record is from RefSeq and is a predicted model, not a curated record. Lineage: Eukaryota; Metazoa; Chordata; Aves; Anseriformes; Anatidae.